AGGAUAAGAACCAACAGCCCUCUUGCCCCGCUGUCCCGGUUACCCACCCUAACUCUCGACCGCCGUCCGCAUGCCUGUCCGAGCGUCAUUGCUGCCUAUCAAGCACGGCUUGUGUGUUGGGUCGUCGUCCGCCUCUCCGGGACGGGCCCCAAAGGCAGCGGCGGCACCGCGUCCGAUCCUCGAGCGUAUGGGCUUUGUCACCCGCUCUGUAGGCCCGGCCGGCGCUUGCCGAACGCAAAUCAAUCUUUCCAGGUUGACCUCGGAUCAGGUAGGGAUACCCGCUGAACUUAAGCAUAUCAAUAAGCGGAGGUGAAGUCCGUCCAUUCCAUUGAUUAUCAUUGGCAUCACCCUCCAGUACCGCUUUAUCUUUAUCAGCAGUUUAUUGUAUUUAGUUAUAUAAUUAUAAUUUACUACAUUUGUAUAAACAUUUAAUGAUCCCUGAUAUCUACAUCUAUAUCAAUCAAUAGUAAAGUCGUCAUACUAUUAUAGUUGGUUAUUGAUCGUUCUAUAGU
This 512-nucleotide unclassified non-coding RNA is filed under the name Fusarium solani. RNAcentral describes it as "partial contains 18S rRNA, ITS1, 5.8S rRNA, ITS2 and 28S rRNA". The record is from RNAcentral. Lineage: Eukaryota; Fungi; Ascomycota; Sordariomycetes; Hypocreales; Nectriaceae.